This 73-nucleotide transfer RNA is filed under the name Cordylochernes scorpioides. RNAcentral describes it as "tRNA-Thr". Lineage: Eukaryota; Metazoa; Arthropoda; Arachnida; Pseudoscorpiones; Chernetidae. The record is from RNAcentral.
GUCCAGGGAUGGGAAUCGAACACACAGUAUUCCGUUUACCAGGCAGAUGCUAUGUCUACUAGGCUACCCUGGA